GGCUUUAUAGUCAUUAUAUGAUGUUAGACUGCAAUUCUAGAGGUGUAGUAUUUACUAAGGCUU
RNAcentral lists this transfer RNA (63 nucleotides) under Medetera sp. Qilemoge-2020. Its description in RNAcentral is "tRNA-Cys". The record is from RNAcentral. Lineage: Eukaryota; Metazoa; Arthropoda; Insecta; Diptera; Dolichopodidae.